This 441-nucleotide ribosomal RNA is filed under the name uncultured bacterium. RNAcentral describes it as "partial 16S ribosomal RNA". It matches the Rfam family "Bacterial small subunit ribosomal RNA", at positions 338 to 795 of the family's 1533-position model. The record is from RNAcentral.
CCUACGGGAGGCAGCAGUGGGGAAUAUUGCACAAUGGGGGAAACCCUGAUGCAGCAACGCCGCGUGAGUGAAGAAGUACUUCGGUAUGUUAAGCCCUAUCAGCAGGGAAGAAGAAAGACGGUACUUGACUAAGAAGCGCCGGCUAACUACGAGCCAGCAGCCGCGGUAAUACGUAGGGGGCAAGCGUUAUCCGGAUUUACUGGGUGUAAAGGGAGCGUAGACGGGUGUGCAAGUCUGAAGUGAAAGCCCGUGGCUCAACCGCGGGAGUGCUUUGGAAACUGGAUGGCUUGAGUACGGGAGAGGCAGGCGGAAUUCCUGGUGUAGCGGUGAAAUGCGUAGAUAUUAGGAGGAACUCCGGUGGCGAAGGCGGCAUGCUGGACAGAAACUGACGUUGAGGCUCGAAAGCGUGGGAAGCGAACAGGAUUAGAUACCCGGGUAGUC